Molecule: long non-coding RNA, 372 nt
Organism: Lampris incognitus (smalleye Pacific opah)
Lineage: Eukaryota; Metazoa; Chordata; Actinopteri; Lampriformes; Lampridae
Exons: 3
Source: RefSeq, a predicted model, not a curated record
UGUGUGAGGUGAGAGGGAGGAGACGGAAGCAGAGGUGCAGCAUUACAUCAAAAUCAGUGGUCCUGAUCUUGCGAGAAGCACAAGUUCGACAUGCAUGUCCUAUGAAGGAGGGUAGUGGCUGGUAUAAGGUGUAGUCUGGCCUGGAUGUAUCCUCUGGUCUCUUGGAAGGCCUGUCUCUGGGACACCUCGGCAGGGUAGUGGGUACAGAUUCCAAUGAUGUUGGUGCACAGGAAGAUCAGAACGUUGGCGCUCACCUGGGAAAAGAUGAACGGAGAAGAGAGAGCAGGUGAAGCAUGCAUGGGACACAAAAACAAGGAGUGAUGAUCAUCUGUGCCAUUAUUUCUACACCAGAGAAACAACUUUGAACGCAAG